Molecule: long non-coding RNA, 599 nt
Organism: Eriocheir sinensis (Chinese mitten crab)
Lineage: Eukaryota; Metazoa; Arthropoda; Malacostraca; Decapoda; Varunidae
Exons: 2
Source: RefSeq, a predicted model, not a curated record
GGAGUCACCUGCUGCACCUGCCUCAUCUCCUGUCCUUGGUCCUCACGUGAGACUUGGGAGGGUUGAAGAGCUCUCAGCAGGUCCUCUGCACACUGCACGGCAAGGAGCAGCACCACCACGAUUGUCAGGACCUGUUUACAUCACACAAGCGGCUGCAGCGGUGGAAGGGCUGGGAGCUGGCAGCAGCAGGAGCAGGAUGGCAGCAGGCAGCAGCACCAAACUUGACACUCCAUCAUGCACAGUUUCCUGAAAGAAAAUGUCUUAUGAGGCAUUCAUUUGGGCAUUUUCAUCUGUCUACUCUUUGCUGUGACAGUUUAUUGCACUUUUUUUUCCUUGACCUGUCUCCUAUGCUGCCACCACCACCACCACCACCACCAUUCUUCCUUCUUACUGUGGGAAUACUUAUUUACUCUUACUGUAAUUAAGAAAAAUAUAUAUGUGAUUUUCCUCUUACUGUAAAAUUUUUAAAUAUAUAGUGUGUGUGAUUUAUCCUUGUGAUGUCUAUGAUAAAAAAACAUAUCCCCACAAGAGGCAACAAGGCUUCUGUUUCUGUGAAUAGAUUAAGAUUGCAUAAAAUAGAUAUUGGAUUUUAACAUUUA